CACAAGCAGCGGAGCGUGUGGUUAAUUCGAGGCAACACGAAGAACCUUACCUGGGCUUGACAUGUUCGUGGUAGUGAAGCGAAAGCGGAUCGACCCUUCGGGGAGCGUUCACAGGUGCUGCAUGGCUGUCGUCAGCUCGUGCCGUGAGGUGUUCGGUUAAGUCCGGUAACGAGCGCAACCCUUGCUGUUAGUUACAAGUGGUCUAACGGGACUGCCGGUUUAAUACCGGAGGAAGGUGGGGAUGACGUCAAGUCAGCAUGGCCUCUAUGUCCAGGGCUACACACACGCUACAAUGGCCGGUACAGUGGGUUGCCAAACCGCGAGGUGGAGCUAAUCCUCAAAGCCGGUCUCAGUUCGGAUUGUAGGCUGCAACUCGCCUGCAUGAAGUCGGAGUUGCUAGUAACCGCGCGUCAGCUAUAGCGCGGUGAAUACGUUCCCGGGCCUU
RNAcentral lists this ribosomal RNA (445 nucleotides) under uncultured Anaerolineaceae bacterium. RNAcentral describes it as "bacterial SSU rRNA". It matches the Rfam family "Bacterial small subunit ribosomal RNA", at positions 924 to 1382 of the family's 1533-position model. Lineage: Bacteria; Bacillati; Chloroflexota; Anaerolineae; Anaerolineales; Anaerolineaceae. The record is from RNAcentral.